This 4000-nucleotide long non-coding RNA is filed under the name Triticum aestivum (bread wheat). Its description in RNAcentral is "long non-coding RNA (TAES_LNC007075)". Lineage: Eukaryota; Viridiplantae; Streptophyta; Magnoliopsida; Poales; Poaceae. The record is from RNAcentral.
AGGAUCUUUCCAAUAAUGAAAAUUGGAAAAAACAUAGCCUCAAACUAUGUAAUAGGGUUUUCAAAAUGCAGGCAUUCUCUCCAUACAAGAUUGACAAGUACCACAUCACGAACAAACGUUUACAACAGAUAUAGAAGUGACAAUAAACAAGUUUUUCAAGAUUUACAAUGAACAGCGUGAUUUGGCUUCUUGCUCUAAAAUAGAAACAUCUGCAGCACUAACUUGGGGACAAUCCCACCAAUUCAAUGACAAUGGACAUAUUUUCUACCCUUCACUCCUUUGCGGCUACCAAUCCUUCAGUAAUCUGAACACAACAUCAGUAAUGCCAAGGCAAAUACCAUGAUACUUUGUUCAUGAUCAUCUCCUUAUCGAAGAAGUAAAUGUAAAACUGGCCUGCAAGAUAAAAGCAUUUCCCGAAUGUACAACCUGGAAUCGUCGGUGCUCUUAAUAUUCAGUUAUUGGUAAUACUGCAGGAUGAAAUAUAGUGCAAACUCUUAUAAAUUUUAAUACAUUCAACAACUAAGAUUUUGAGCCAUGAGAUUAUAUGCCAAUAGUUACAUUUAAGCUUAUUAGAGCAUAUAUCAAUCAUAAAAAGGUAGAAAGAAUAAGCUUCGGGACACAAUAAGGGCUUAAACUACUUAUUUGAAAACAGUGAAACAACUCAUUAAAUCUAACUAAUUUUAAAUGAUCCAGUUUUAAGGAUUAAUACAGUACAACUAAGAGAAGGCUAUAUCAUCAAUCAAGAAGAUUCCACCGUAUAAACUUGACAAUUAGAGACAACUGUCACUGCUCCGUCACAUACCAUGGUCGACAUGAGCAAUGACAGGCAUGUUAUGGAUAUUUUUUAUCCAUAAUUCCGCGGAGCUCCUCCGUUCUAAACUUCACCAUCUUGACUGCUUUUGAAUGUCAGACGGGAAUACCAUUCCUUCUCUAAUAAUAGCAAGCUAUCAGAACCAAGCAAUAAUAUAGUGUGAAUAACUGAACAUGGAAAGCGACAGUAAUAUAUUAACGAUCCUUUAAAGUAAUUAAGACCACAAUUGUCUACUCAAAGAAAAGUAUAGGAUUGAAAGCCAUAUCCCGAAGGGGUGUAUACUAAAGCAAAAUUUACCAAUCAACGGAUAGUGACUAAUAUUAUAUCAUUAGGUGAUACCUUAAGUUCCCCUCUGAAAAUGUUCUCAAUCUCAACAUUGUAUUACACAAUGAACGCCCAGAUAGAUUUGAUGAAGCUUCGAUUCUGUACUGGGAUAGAGAUGGAAUAUAUUUAUCUUGCUCAAAUAUAAAUCCAGAAAGUUAGAAAAAUUAAUAGAAGGACUGCACAAAAAUACGAAAGAACCAAUACAGCUGAUAGGUGCCUUUUCUCCAUAUAUGAUAUACCUGAGCAUGUAACCUAUUUUUCUACAAGAUCUCUUUGCCUUUCUAAUGAUAAUUUCAAGAUUCAAAUAUCAGAUAUCGUGCUCACAGAUUUGGUGUAGACUGUAGAAAGUGUGAUAUGACCAGAAUAUCAGCUGGCAUGCUCAAUAUUGGGGCUGAUAUGACCAGAAUAUCAGUCGGUAUGCUCAAUACUGGGGCUGAUAUGACCAAAAUAUAGACCAUACUUGAUAUAAGCAGACAGCCAACACUUUAUGCGCAUCCACAUAUACUUGCAAAAAAGAAAGUUAAUUGCUCCUUUACUAUUUGUAUGCAUCCAUAGUUCCACACAUACACUCAUUAGAAAAACAGAGAACACUAAUUACUCCUCUAGCUUCUCUAGAACAUAAGAAACAACAGCUAAAAUUUGAUCCAGUGGAACCUAGGGCCAGUUCUUUUGGGCAAUUCUCCCAGAAUUGACCCCCUCCCCAGCUUCUCCCAGAAUUGCCACUUAAUAUUUUUUUACAAUUCCUAGCUAGUUAAGGUCUAAUUAGCUAGGAAUUGUAAAAAAAUAUUAAGUGGCAAUUCUGGGAGAAGCUGGGGAGGGGGUUAAUUCUGGGAGAAUUGCCCAAAAGAACUGGCCCCUAACACCAGCCCCAACAUAAAGGAAUAUAAACAAAGGAAGGGAAGACACCUUUGUAUCAUCUAGUGAUCUGGACAUGUAGUAGACCCAACAUUAAGGAAUACCCAAAGAUAAAUGACAACUUGGGCAGCAGCAUCCUGCACUAUGGUUGUGGUCAUGAGGAGAUCAUAGAGAUAAAAACGAAUUGUCAAGCUUUCCACCCAUACUUGACAAGCACCUAAAAAGAUGGAGUUGACAUCAGCCAUAAAUCACAAGUUCGAAGCAAAGAAAGACAAUUCCUACAAAACAAGCUAGUGUUUUCAAAUUAAGUUUGGUAGUGCACGAAACUUCUUAAAUCAUCAGGAAAUAAGCAUCGAAAUAUUGCUCACUUCAAGAUGCUGCAAGUAAAGAACUAUAGUUUUGAAUAUGAUGACAACACAAUAGAACUUCAAUUAAAGAUAAUAAUGCAAAGCACACCUCCACGUGAUUGUCUGGGUGAGCGCUUUUCGGGUGGGCAGAAAACAACUUUGUGAUGACAACACAUACACACGACAAAAUGGGUGGCUUGUUAGGAAGUAGGGACACUUUGAAUACAUUAAAAAAUUCAAAUCAAGCGCUUGAAAGGCCAAAUAAUGGUGCAAGGUAACUCACUGUAUAUCAUCAGUUCUUCAAAUAAUAGAUCUAUAGAGCAACGAACAAAUCCAGAACCACAACUCCUGAUAACGCCAAUAUGCCAUAUACAACCAUGGAAAAACCUGCAGUAGUAGAAAUACCGUCAUAUAUUGUCUGUUUAGAGAAACCUACUCGAGAGUGGUAAUCUCUAGCAGUUAUUUACCUAUAGUACUCGCAUCGAUAUCCAUGAGCCAAAAAGGUGAAGAGAUAAAUUGAUUUUAGCGGGGACUAAUUGGCAAGAUGAUGUAUCUGCCAUACAUACAACAACUACAUACACUUGCAUGGAUUGUAUGCCGUCCCAACUUGAAACGGAUGCCCAUGCCAGGCACCAGAUCAAGCAAAGGAAUAAAAGACUCCUCUAUAAAGAGGAAAGGAACUCCAGGAUGUUUCUUCAUGGCAGUCAUGUUUGUUAUGCUUCAUACAUGUUGCAAAUACAUGUAUGAUCAUAGCUGACCAAAUUUAUUUAAUAGGUAAUGUGUGAUCAAAAUGGUGUUAGCAAGGGGUCUGGCGUUGUUGCAUUGUUCUACCUAUGAGGAAGCAUCUCAACGCUGAGCUGUGUCGAUGUCUCACAUAGUAUCGUGCUGGCCAAUAUGUAGAGGAUAGUAACAGCCUACAAACACCAUCCUUUUAUCCGUGAUCUUUCCUAGAGAUUCACAUGAUAUUUUUUUUCACUUUGUGUUGUUGUAAGUUCCAGUUUUCCUAUGACGCACAUUCUACUAAUUUACUCUCUCAAGACCCUGGUUGAUGCGUUUGUACCAGUUGAUACAUGCAUGUUGCUUUCCUGUUUUCUUGGUGCCUAAAAGAUUAUAUAUGCAAAUAUCCUAUUCGUUUCGAAGAAACUGAAAACCCUGCUCAUCUCAGCUUUUUGAUCGGCUGGAAGUUUUCAGAUAUAUGUCUUACCAAUUGCUAAGUCAUAUUCAAUAUUGAUUUAUCCCAACAAAAACUUAGAUAAUUUGAUUAAGUGCAACUGGACAUGAUCUACCAGGUGUAGUUUUUGUGAUCGGGACGAUCCGAGAGCAUCUCCUGGGCAGUAACAAACAAAAAUCCACUUUGCAGAAACUUAGCUGAGGCACCCAACAAACUUUCAAAGACAACAACAUUUCUACAUGGAAGCCUAGCUAGAUCUCAGCAUCUGGUGAACUGGAAGAAAAAAAAUCCCCUUUAUAGGAACCUAGCUAGACAUGAACAUCUCCUUGACAAGAAGGGUGAAGAAGCUUACCCAACAGAAGAGCCAGAGCACAAACCCGGCACAAUCACCAUGCAUCCUUGGAUCCACCGCUAGCAUGCUCAUUUUCGUCAGGAUCUCCUAUUUUCCCUCCAAAUCUGUCCGUGGCUGAGCACCAUGGAAGGACAAGCCCC